This 483-nucleotide ribosomal RNA is filed under the name Triticum aestivum (bread wheat). RNAcentral describes it as "partial small subunit ribosomal RNA". Lineage: Eukaryota; Viridiplantae; Streptophyta; Magnoliopsida; Poales; Poaceae. The record is from RNAcentral.
AUGAUCUCUCAAAAGAAUUUUAAUGCUUUGCUUGAAGAAAAAUUGCUCAAAGUUGAUGAUUUGGCUAGGAACGUUGAUAGACUUUCGCUUGAUGUUGAUUCUCUUAAACUUAGAUCUACUCCUCCUAAGCAUGAUAUCAAUGAGUCUCUCAAAGCAAUGAGAAUUUCCAUUGAUGAGUGCAAAGAAAGAACCGCUAGAUUGCGUGCUAAGAAAGAUUGCUUUGUAAAGGCGUGUUCUUCUAGUUUCCAUGAAAAUAAUGAUGAAGAUCUUAAAGUUAUUGAUGUGUCCCCUAUUAGAUCUUUGUUCUGCAAUAUGAAUCUUAAUAAUAAUGGGACUGGAGAUGAGUCAACUUUAGUUAGAAGGCAUCCCAAUAAUUCAGAGUUUUUAGAUCUUGAUGCUAAAUUUGGUAAAAGUGGGACCGGAGAGGUCAUGACUUUAAAUAGCAUUGAACCCACUAUCUCAGAUUUCAAGGAAUUUGAUUAG